This is a transfer RNA of Felis catus (domestic cat), 85 nucleotides long. It matches the Rfam family "tRNA". Rfam says of the family: Transfer RNA (tRNA) molecules are approximately 80 nucleotides in length. Their secondary structure includes four short double-helical elements and three loops (D, anti-codon, and T loops). NCBI's taxonomy places the organism in Eukaryota, Metazoa, Chordata, Mammalia, Carnivora, Felidae. The record is from Rfam.
ACCUGGGUGGCUAAGUUGGUUAAGCAUCUGACUUCAGCUCAGGUCACUAUCUCGCAGUUUGUGGGUUCGAGCCCCACAUCGGGCU